AGUUCUCUGUCAGGUUAUUAGGGUUUAUGUGAGGCAGAGGUGAUUCUGUGCAGUUGAGUUCCCUUCAGGGUUUGGAGGCUGCUCUGAGUUCUCUGUCAGGUUUCUCUCCAGGUUUUGUCCAGGGUUUUGUUCCAAGGAAACCUCCGAGUAUUUUGCUUCUCUUCCUUUUUCUGUCAUUUUUGUUUCAAUGAAACUCUAGUAUUUAUAGGCUAAUAUUGGUAGCUUAGUGGGCUUUUGAGAGAGGUCCAAGUUUGAGAUUUUUUCUUUUAUUUUAUUUAUUUAUUUAUUUAAUUUAUUUUUUUAUUUUAUUUUUUUUUAUUUUAUUUUUAUCUUUUUUUUUUCGUUUUACGUUUUUUUUUCCGUUUUUUUUUGUUCGUUUUUUUUUUAUAUUUUUUUUUAAAAUAAAGCUUCUUGGAUCUGAUUCUGAUUGACAUGAUGAAAUGCAAUGUAUCUAAUGUUAAAUGACCUAAAAAUGAAUGUGUGAAUAAGGAGGGCAAAUUUUGGGGUGUUACACACUCUACACCAGAAACUGAAAUUUGUGAAGAAUAAGAAAUUGGUAGUGGUAGGGGGAGAAAAGGCUCUCCUGGUUAGCCACUUGUCUUCCUUCUCAUAUAUAGAUGCUGAGGAUGAAGUUGGAACUCCUUUCCAAGCUUUAUCUAUAGCUGAGCCUAUUGAGAAG
Molecule: long non-coding RNA, 679 nt
Filed under: Lathyrus oleraceus (garden pea)
Lineage: Eukaryota; Viridiplantae; Streptophyta; Magnoliopsida; Fabales; Fabaceae
Description: Pisum sativum (pea) long non-coding RNA (PSAT_LNC035144)
Source: RNAcentral